AUUGAACGCUGGCGGCAUGCCUUACACAUGCAAGUCGAACGGCAGCACGGGUGCUUGCACCUGGUGGCGAGUGGCGAACGGGUGAGUAAUACAUCGGAACGUACCUUAUCGUGGGGGAUAACGCAGCGAAAGCUGUGCUAAUACCGCAUACGCCCUGAGGGGGAAAGCGGGGGAUCGAAAGACCUCGCGCGAUUAGAGCGGCCGAUGCCUGAUUAGCUUGUUGGUGGGGUAAAAGCCCACCAAGGCGACGAUCAGUAGCUGGUCUGAGAGGACGAUCAGCCACACUGGGACUGAGACACGGCCCAGACUCCUACGGGAGGCAGCAGUGGGGAAUUUUGGACAAUGGGGGCAACCCUGAUCCAGCAAUGCCGCGUGAGUGAAGAAGGCCUUCGGGUCGUAAAGCUCUUUUGUCAGGGAAGAGACACCGGCUCUAACACAGUCCGGGAAUGACGGUACCUGAAGAAUAAGCACCGGCUAACUACGUGCCAGCAGCCGCCGCGG
This 501-nucleotide ribosomal RNA is filed under the name uncultured bacterium. Its description in RNAcentral is "partial 16S ribosomal RNA". It matches the Rfam family "Bacterial small subunit ribosomal RNA", at positions 29 to 523 of the family's 1533-position model. The record is from RNAcentral.